UGAAAAAUGUUUGCCGUACCUGCCACCCUUGCCGACUUCAAACGCAGCCACCCUUGAUGAUUGGUGAGGACACCAUACCUGAGAGAAGACGCAAUGGACCCAAACAUUACUGACCUCAAUGAGACCCCAUCGAGGUGCAUAGACAAUGAGAAACUGCGUUCUCCUCGGCACUCCGUUGAUCGCCGUAUCCGAUGCGUGUGGCGGUGUUCUGAAAGACGUUGAACAAGACGAUCCUGCCGACGCUGUCGGUGACGGCGGCCAUCUGUUUG
This is a long non-coding RNA of Rhipicephalus microplus (southern cattle tick), 269 nucleotides long. RefSeq lists it as uncharacterized. Lineage: Eukaryota; Metazoa; Arthropoda; Arachnida; Ixodida; Ixodidae. The record is from RefSeq and is a predicted model, not a curated record.